GGAGAGGUUCCCGAGCGGCCAAAGGGGACGGGCUGUAAACCCGUUGGCAUUAGCCUUCGGUGGUUCGAAUCCACCCCUCUCCA
Molecule: transfer RNA, 83 nt
Filed under: Deltaproteobacteria bacterium
Lineage: Bacteria; Pseudomonadati; Myxococcota; Myxococcia
Description: tRNA-Tyr
Rfam family: tRNA
About the family: Transfer RNA (tRNA) molecules are approximately 80 nucleotides in length. Their secondary structure includes four short double-helical elements and three loops (D, anti-codon, and T loops).
Source: RNAcentral